Molecule: ribosomal RNA, 424 nt
Filed under: uncultured prokaryote
Description: bacterial SSU rRNA
Rfam family: Bacterial small subunit ribosomal RNA
Source: RNAcentral
UGGGGAAUAUUGGACAAUGGGCGCAAGCCUGAUCCAGCCAUGCCGCGUGGGUGAGGAAGGCCCUAGGGUUGUAAACCCCUUUCAGCGGGGAAGAUAAUGACGGUACCCGCAGAAGAAGCCCCGGCUAACUCCGUGCCAGCAGCCGCGGUAAUACGGAGGGGGCUAGCGUUGUUCGGAAUUACUGGGCGUAAAGCGCGCGUAGGCGGACUUUCAAGUCAGGGGUGAAAUCCCGAGGCUCAACCUCGGAACUGCCUUUGAUACUGAUUGUCUUGAGUGCGGAAGAGGGUGACGGAAUUCCCAGUGUAGAGGUGAAAUUCGUAGAUAUUGGGAAGAACACCGGUGGCGAAGGCGGUCACCUGGUCCGCAACUGACGCUGAGGCGCGAAAGCGUGGGGAGCAAACAGGAUUAGAUACCCCGGUAGUCC